RNAcentral lists this ribosomal RNA (253 nucleotides) under uncultured bacterium. RNAcentral describes it as "partial 16S ribosomal RNA". It matches the Rfam family "Bacterial small subunit ribosomal RNA", at positions 524 to 776 of the family's 1533-position model. The record is from RNAcentral.
UACAGAGGGGGCAAGCGUUGUUCGGAAUUACUGGGCGUAAAGCGCGUGUAGGCGGCUUUGCAAGUCGGGUGUGAAAGCCCUCAGCUCAACUGAGGAAGUGCGCCCGAAACUGCAUAGCUUGAGUACCGGAGAGGAUGGUGGAAUUCCCGAAGUAGAGGUGAAAUUCGUAGAUAUCGGGAGGAACACCGGUGGCGAAGGCGACCAUCUGGACGGAUACUGACGCUGAGACGCGAAAGCGUGGGUAGCAAACAGG